GCCAGGCGCGGCAGCUCAUGCCUGUAAUCCCAGUGCUUGGGAGGCUGAGGCAGGAGUAUCGUGAGUUCAAAGCCAGCCUCUG
This 82-nucleotide small RNA is filed under the name Marmota monax (woodchuck). Lineage: Eukaryota; Metazoa; Chordata; Mammalia; Rodentia; Sciuridae. The record is from RNAcentral.